GGACUACAGGGGUAUCUAAUCCCGUUUGCUCCCCUGGCUUUCGCGUCUCAGCGUCAGUAGAAACCCAGGACCUCGCUUUCGCCACGGGCGUUCCUUCCGAUCUCAACGCAUUUCACCGCUCCACCGGAAGUUCCAGGUCCCCCUAUUCCCCUCAAGACUGCUCGUAUCGGUGCCCAUUCCCCGGUUGAGCCGGGGGAUUUCAGCGCCCGACGUGGCAGUCCGCCUACACGCGCUUUAAGCCCAGUGAUUCCGAAUAACGUUCGCACGGUUCGUCUUACCGCGGCUGCUGGCAC
This 293-nucleotide ribosomal RNA is filed under the name uncultured bacterium. RNAcentral's name for it is "partial 16S ribosomal RNA". The record is from RNAcentral. RNAcentral also lists the same sequence under 2 other names.